RNAcentral lists this ribosomal RNA (300 nucleotides) under uncultured Slackia sp. RNAcentral describes it as "partial 16S ribosomal RNA". It matches the Rfam family "Bacterial small subunit ribosomal RNA", at positions 496 to 795 of the family's 1533-position model. The record is from RNAcentral. Lineage: Bacteria; Bacillati; Actinomycetota; Coriobacteriia; Eggerthellales; Eggerthellaceae.
GUGAAUUCUGGGGAGGCGGCGUAGGGAAGACGGGGGGGGCCGGCGGUAGUCGGGAUUACUGAGCGGAAAGAGGUCGCAGGCGGGUUGUUAAGCGAGAUGGGAAAGCCCUGGGCGCAACCUAGGAAUAGCAUGUCGAACUGGCGAACUAGAGUCGUGGAGAGGGGGGUAGAAUUCCAGGUGUAGCGGUGAAAUGCGUAGAGAUCUGGAGGAAUACCGGUGGCGAAGGCGGCCCCCUGGACAAAGACUGACGCUCAUGCACGAAAGCGUGGGGAGCAAACAGGAUUAGAUACCCGAGUAGUC